UACGUACGGGAGGCAGCAGUGAGGAAUAUUGGUCAAUGGACGCAAGUCUGAACCAGCCAAGUAGCGUGCAGGAUGACGGCCCUAUGGGUUGUAAACUGCUUUUAUGUGGGAAUAAAUUGGCGCACGUGUGCGCCAUUGCAUGUACCUCAUGAAUAAGGACCGGCUAAUUCCGUGCCAGCAGCCGCGGUAAUCGUA
This 195-nucleotide ribosomal RNA is filed under the name uncultured bacterium. RNAcentral describes it as "partial 16S ribosomal RNA". It matches the Rfam family "Bacterial small subunit ribosomal RNA", at positions 337 to 529 of the family's 1533-position model. The record is from RNAcentral.